UUGCCGUAAUAACAGCUAUGAAACAAGUGCAACACAGGGAGUAAGUUCAAAGAGCAAAACUUUUAAUACGCAGCAACCAUUCUUGAAGUAAUUGCAUUACCAUGUUUAGGACACUGGCUUCUGGAGUACAAAUCUUUGAGCAGGUAACCAUUUUUUGUUACUUUUAUAUACUGUACCUUUAUUUUUUAAAUUCAACUUUUCACUGAAAUCUGUUGCACAUACUGUAUAUUUCUGCACAUGCUAUCUCAUUGGGAAGAAUGAUUGACUUGGCUUUUUGAACAAAAGUUUGUAUCUCCUACAAAAUGGUUCAUAUCAAUAAAAUCAAUCUCAGGUAAAUAAACAUUGGGCAGUUUGGGAAAGUUAUACAGUAACUAGAUAAUAAAAAUAAAAUGCUCUCUUUUAUUUUCUUGUCAUAUUUACAUAGGCUUAUCCCUUAAUUUUACCUCUACAUCUUUCUGAAGUAAAUUGUGCUGAGAGUAAUUGGCCUGAAGUUAUCCAAUGAGCUUCAUAACUAAGUGCAGAUCUAAACCUUGAUUCUCCUGGUCCUAGCCCAAAACCUUAGCCGUUGUACUACAUAUGAUAGAAAAUCACUGUAUUAUGAUAAAAUGAUUCUGUAUGCAGGGUGGGAAACUUAUAGCUCUUCAGAUGUUACUCAGUUAUAAAUCCCAGCCUAAAAUAUAGCAUGACCAACAGUAAAAAAUACUCAAAAUUGUAGUUUAACAACAACUGGGGAGCCACAGAUUCCUUACCAUACCUAUGUGUAGGAGUUACCAUUACUGUGAACAGUAAUAUCCAAAGCUGACAAUUUAGACUCUAAUAUUAAAUAUAUUUACUCAGAAUUAAAUUGAUCUGAAGGUACAAGUUAUAAAUGCUGCAGCCCUGUAGCAGUUAUUUAACAGAUCAUAGGAGUAGGAUUUAUAACUGAACAACCAUGCAUAGGAUUUGGCUAUGAAUUUCUUCACUGAUCUGUUAAUCAAAAAAGUGCUCAUAAAAGUAAUCCUCUUCAGAAAUAAACUGUAUCAUAGUCAUUAGGGAUUAUGUAGGAUUGUGCUAUCCAAACUUUUAUGCAUCUUGUGAUUAUUCCUACUGUCUCAUCUGUAUCUCUUGAAAAGCUGAGCUGUACAUCAUAAAUAUACUCAUCCCAAAUUUCUUUUUCACCCAGCUGUUUUAAAUAGAUGAUACAUACAUAUUUCCAGGAAGGAUUCUGCAGUUGUUGUGUGAUGGAACAGAAAUUCCCAUAUACAAUUGAAGAAUGUUAUCCAAUUAAAAAUCUUAGUCAAUUAUUUAUAUUAUCUUAAUUAGGGCUACCAGAUCUGGGAUGCAAAAAUCCAGAUGAUUACUAGAAGGAUCUCUCUACUGCUAUUUAAUGGUCAUCAAAAUUUUGCAUUCCAGAUCAGGUAGCCCUAAUGUUAAUUAUUCCAUCUAUUAAUCAAUUUCAUCUGAAUAUGGGUAAAAUCAAUUGAACUGUGUCUUUAGAACAUGUUGUUAUGACUGAAAGGUAACAAAAAUCCAGCUCUGCAAUAUUUGUAGAGUUCAAGAUUCUUUUUUGGAGGGGUGGAGCUUGAGAACACAAAUGUCAAUUUUCCAUUGCCUUGUCUAUUGCUCUAAUUUUUCUGUAUGAGUAACAUGCCUCCUCCCCAACUUUUUCACUCUUAAAUGCUUUGUUUGUAUCUGUCUACGGUGGUGAUGAGGUUUGUAUCAGAGGAAUAGCUGGGUUAAAUUAAGGGGGAAAAAAUAAAAAGAUGUCAUGCCCCAAUUAAAUGUCAGCCAAAAGACUUCUAAAUAGUUAAUUGAAACAGAAUAACUUCUAGCUAGAACAUUGCAGCUCUUAAUGACAACAUAGUAAGUAUUAGUUGUUCACUUUCAAUUAUUAUGUGAAUUCACCUAUUUUGAUAUACAAAACAGAAUUUCUGGCUUAGGAGACUGGCUGGAUUUGCACCAUUACAGUUUAUGAAAGAAAUUGGACUGCAGCAGCUAACAGUGCACUGGACCAUGUUGGCCAAAGGUUUGAUGGACAAACAGUUGGAAAAAAACUGGAACUCGGUUCUUAUAUAUGACAACAGCAGCAAGACUUUUAUAUACACAGAGGUGGAAGGACAAGACAUUACCUACGGUGGAAGAAUGGAUGGUGAAGCUGAUGGAGUUAGCUGAGAUGGCAAAAUUGACAGCUUUGAUUUAAGACAUUGUGUAA
Python bivittatus (Burmese python) is the source of this 2191-nucleotide non-coding RNA. The record is from RefSeq and is a predicted model, not a curated record. NCBI's taxonomy places the organism in Eukaryota, Metazoa, Chordata, Lepidosauria, Squamata, Pythonidae.